CUUGCCUAGUACGAAAAGGAACAUAAAUUGUCUGCAUCAAGUGGUAAUAAGGAAAUAUUGUUUAUUCUUUUCAGAGAUUGGAAAAUCUUUUCCAGGUAUUUCCAGACCAGAAAAUAAAAGCUCAGCCUGUGACCUGCUGUGCUAGAUCCAGCAGAGCAUCACAGAGAGGCAGAAGGGCUGUAGCUUGGCACUGUGCUCCCUGCUUGGGACGGCCCAUCACGGGCAGCCUGGGCUCGGACAAGCCCACCUGCAGGCACGUCCCCCUGUGCAGCACCAACCUGGAGCCACGAGCUUCUUCCACUUCUGGGAGCAGUUUCACAUGUUCUGAUGCAGUGAAUUCUCCCCCACUAGGGAAAGUGGACAUCUGGGAGAUGUGUAGUUAUCCAGUACCAAUUUCAGAGUCUUCUGUGCCUACACAUAUUCAGGUCAGGUCCAGCUCAAGAUACUGAACUACCACAGUAAUAGAUCUGCGAAGCUGGAAAUAUCACAGAUUUCCCAAGACGGACUCUGGUCUUUUUUUCCCCUUUGUGAAUUUGUUCAUUGCAUGGCAGCCUUUUGUGAGUUGCAGUUCUGUCUCCUUUAACCAUUCAAUAUUGUUACUAUGCUUUAUGUUACAGUUGAUUGAUUUGCGGUAGAAAUAGUCAAUAUUUACAAGAUCAUUCAUUCUGUUAGCUUUUGGUUGUGUAACAAUGAACCAAAUGGGAAUAACCCUCUUGUAUUUUAAAUGGCCCUGCAUACAGGUGUUCAUACCUUAGAUAAAACAGCAGCAGGAAACAAGGUAACCUUCAGGAAGAAACUGAGAUAGCAGAGUAGGAUUUGAUAAGAAUUAUUCAAAUGCUAUAGUGAAAGCUUUCUAAGCCUCUAAAUAAGUCAAGGGUGUCAAAAAAUGAUCUGCCUUGAACACCUAAUCUUUCUGUCAACUUGAAGCAGGGAUGGUCACAAAAAACAUAUGCACAAUUUUUAUUCCAUUGAUUGUUUUUCCAGAGUAUCAAGUCCCAGACAGUAGCUUAAUCUCAAGAACUGCAACUGGUUAGGAAGACUGAGGCAGACAGCAAAUACCCUUUGGUACUUUCCAUAUCUGUUCCUAAUAACCAGGACAUCAGUUUCCUUAAAGACUAACCCACUGUUCACAUGACAAGAAGAAUAACUUACAAGCUUUAUAUGAUAAUACUAUUUAGUAAUGGCUUCCAUUAUAAAACUUUUGGAAAAACAAUUUCAGACUUCUACUGAGUACCAUACCUUAGUUCAUGUCUGACCUAUGGCUUUUGAUAGCUAGUGCAGAGUAAUCUCUUUUCAGAUAUAAUAUUGCACCAAAGGAUUUUUUUUCAAGAAUAUAUUGAAAACCAGGAUACCUUAAAUAGCAGGAGUGGAGAAAAUAGUCCCCUAAUAAUCAAACUCUGAACAGUCUGCAGACAUCAGUUACACCUUUCGCAGUUGUAAGUUUAUCUC
Molecule: long non-coding RNA, 1449 nt
Filed under: Apteryx owenii (little spotted kiwi)
Lineage: Eukaryota; Metazoa; Chordata; Aves; Apterygiformes; Apterygidae
Description: lncRNA (ENSAOWG00000017284.1)
Source: RNAcentral